RNAcentral lists this ribosomal RNA (467 nucleotides) under uncultured bacterium. RNAcentral's name for it is "partial 16S ribosomal RNA". It matches the Rfam family "Bacterial small subunit ribosomal RNA", at positions 29 to 507 of the family's 1533-position model. The record is from RNAcentral.
ACGCACGCUGGCGGCGUGCUUAACACCUGCAAGUCGCACGGAAAGGCCCUGCUUUUGUGGGGUGCUCGAGUGGCGAACGGGUGAGUAACACGUGAGUAACCUGCCCUUGACUUUGGGAUAACUUCAGGAAACUGGGGCUAAUACCGGAUAGGAGCUCCUGCUGCAUGGUGGGGGUUGGAAAGUUUCGGCGGUUGGGGAUGGACUCGCGGCUUAUCAGCUUGUUGGUGGGGUAGUGGCUUACCAAGGCUUUGACGGGUAGCCGGCCUGAGAGGGUGACCGGCCACAUUGGGACUGAGAUACGGCCCAGACUCCUACGGGAGGCAGCAGUGGGGAAUAUUGCACAAUGGGCGGAAGCCUGAUGCAGCAACGCCGCGUGCGGGAUGACGGCCUUCGGGUUGUAAACCGCUUUCGCCUGUGACGAAGCGUGAGUGACGGUAAUGGGUAAAGAAGCACCGGCUAACUACGUG